RNAcentral lists this ribosomal RNA (253 nucleotides) under uncultured bacterium. Its description in RNAcentral is "partial 16S ribosomal RNA". It matches the Rfam family "Bacterial small subunit ribosomal RNA", at positions 524 to 776 of the family's 1533-position model. The record is from RNAcentral.
UACAGAGGUCUCAAGCGUUGUUCGGAUUCAUUGGGCGUAAAGGGCGCGCAGGCGGCGCGGUAAGUCGGGUGUGAAAUCUCGGGGCUUAACUCCGAAACUGCAUUCGAUACUGCCGUGCUUGAGGACUGGAGAGGAGACUGGAAUUUACGGUGUAGCGGUGAAAUGCGUAGAUAUCGUAAGGAAGACCAGUGGCGAAGGCGGGUCUCUGGACAGUUCCUGACGCUGAGGCACGAAGGUCAGGGGAGCAAACGGG